RNAcentral lists this ribosomal RNA (253 nucleotides) under uncultured bacterium. Its description in RNAcentral is "partial 16S ribosomal RNA". It matches the Rfam family "Bacterial small subunit ribosomal RNA", at positions 524 to 776 of the family's 1533-position model. The record is from RNAcentral.
UACGUAGGGUGCGAGCGUUAAUCGGAAUUACUGGGCGUAAAGCGUGCGCAGGCGGUUUUGUAAGCCAGAUGUGAAAUCCCCGGGCUUAACCUGGGAAUGGCAUUUGUGACUGCACGGCUAGAGUGUGUCAGAGGGGGGUAGAAUUCCACGUGUAGCAGUGAAAUGCGUAGAUAUGUGGAGGAAUACCGAUGGCGAAGGCAGCCCCCUGGGAUAACACUGACGCUCAUGCACGAAAGCGUGGGGAGCAAACAGG